This is a non-coding RNA of Biomphalaria pfeifferi, 687 nucleotides long. The record is from the annotation of a GenBank genome assembly. NCBI's taxonomy places the organism in Eukaryota, Metazoa, Mollusca, Gastropoda, Planorbidae.
AACUCACUGGAUAACUCAUUGGAUAACUCAUUGUUUAACUCAUUGGAUAACUAAAUGGAGAUAACUAAUUGGACAACAGCAAUGUCAAGGUUACAAUAUUCGUGGACAGCGUUGAGAGAGGGUCUCUCUCUAGUGAAGUACAUUAACUUUGUUAUUGAUACGAAAUCAAUAAGGUGUUUGUUUUUAUCUCUACGUGAUCGAUUUGAGCAUGCGCAGGACACUUGAUGCUUUCCAGGGAGGCUGAACCCCACGUGACUGGAUAUAGGUUGACCUGGAGAGUUCUAAUGAACACUACGUUUCAUUUCAUUGUGUCAUUGUGUUUAUUCCAGGACUAAAGCAAACACAUUUAACUGUGUGCAUAGAUUCUUUCAUUAAUCCCUGGCAUUGUUUUUAUUUUGUAAAUAAAAUGUCAUACAUUUGAAUAUUAUGAGCUCUACAGCCAUUUACUUGUGUGUGAAGAAGCCUUGUCUGUAGGAGGUCUGUGUGUGUGGAAUAUAAGUUUAUUAGAACAUUGUUUAAGACUAAGACUUAUGUCUGCUUUGUGUAUGUGUGUAUACAUGUCUCGUCUAUAUGUUUAUAUUUUGAGUCUCACGUGUCUUGUUCUCACAUUCACGUGACACCUUCUGACUGACCUUUUAACCUCUAGAAGAUGAAGCUAUGUAACAAAACAUAGAUAGCUUCAUAUUG